GACGAACGCUGGCGGCGUGCUUAACACAUGCAAGUCGAACGCUGAAGCUCAGCUUUUGUUGGGUGGAUGAGUGGCGAACGGGUGAGUAACACGUGAGUAACCUGCCCCCUUCUUUGGGAUAACGCCCGGAAACGGGUGCUAAUACUGGAUAUUCACUGGUCUUCGCAUGGGGGUUGGUGGAAAGGGUUUUUCUGGUGGGGGAUGGGCUCGCGGCCUAUCAGCUUGUUGGUGGGGUGAUGGCCUACCAAGGGUUUGACGGGUAGCCGGCCUGAGAGGGUGCCCGGUCACAUUGGGACUGAGAUACGGCCCAGGCUCCUACGGGGGGCAGCAGUGGGGAAUAAUGCAGAAUGGGCGCAAGACUGAUGCAGCGACGCAGCGUGAGGGAUGGAGGCCGUCGGGUUGUGAACCUCGUUCGCUAAUGGUCAAGCCGCAACAAUGGUUGUGGUGAGGGUAGUGGGUAAAGAAGCGCCGGCUAACUACGUG
RNAcentral lists this ribosomal RNA (483 nucleotides) under uncultured bacterium. Its description in RNAcentral is "partial 16S ribosomal RNA". It matches the Rfam family "Bacterial small subunit ribosomal RNA", at positions 28 to 507 of the family's 1533-position model. The record is from RNAcentral.